RNAcentral lists this ribosomal RNA (718 nucleotides) under uncultured Bacteroidota bacterium. RNAcentral's name for it is "bacterial SSU rRNA". It matches the Rfam family "Bacterial small subunit ribosomal RNA", at positions 133 to 854 of the family's 1533-position model. The record is from RNAcentral. Lineage: Bacteria; Pseudomonadati; Bacteroidota.
UUACAGGGGAAUAGCCCAGAGAAAUUUGGAUUAAUGCCCCAUAGUAUGUAUGAAUCGCAUGGUUUAUACAUUAAAGUUCCAACGGUAAAAGAUGAGCAUGCGUCCCAUUAGUUAGUUGGUAAGGUAACGGCUUACCAAGACGAUGAUGGGUAGGGGUCCUGAGAGGGAGAUCCCCCACACUGGUACUGAGACACGGACCAGACUCCUACGGGAGGCAGCAGUGAGGAAUAUUGGACAAUGGGCGCAAGCCUGAUCCAGCCAUGCCGCGUGCAGGAAGAAGCAUCUAUGGUGUGUAAACUGCUUUUGUACAGGAAGAAACACUCCCUCGUGAGGGAGCUUGACGGUACUGUAAGAAUAAGGAUCGGCUAACUCCGUGCCAGCAGCCGCGGUAAUACGGAGGAUCCAAGCGUUAUCCGGAAUCAUUGGGUUUAAAGGGUCCGUAGGCGGUUUGAUAAGUCAGUGGUGAAAGCCCAUCGCUCAACGAUGGAACGGCCAUUGAUACUGUCAGACUUGAAUUACUAGGAAGUAACUAGAAUAUGUAGUGUAGCGGUGAAAUGCUUAGAUAUUACAUGGAAUACCAAUUGCGAAGGCAGGUUACUACUAGUGGAUUGACGCUGAUGGACGAAAGCGUGGGGAGCGAACAGGAUUAGAUACCCUGGUAGUCCACGCCGUAAACGAUGGAUACUAGCUGUUGGGCGCAAGUUCAGUGGCUAAGCGA